Molecule: long non-coding RNA, 906 nt
Organism: Lepus europaeus (European hare)
Lineage: Eukaryota; Metazoa; Chordata; Mammalia; Lagomorpha; Leporidae
Exons: 3
Source: RefSeq, a predicted model, not a curated record
CUGAGAGAACAGACAGUGCCUGCUAUCCCCCAUGGCAGAAUCUCCUGAUCACACUGCUGCAGACGCCAGGCGGCCUGACAGGGUGGAGAACGGCUCAGGCCACUGGGGGAAGGUUUCACUCCACGGUGGGACCUGAAGAAGGGAGAUUUGCCAUCUGGCCUUCUCUGGGUUGAGAAAAUCCCAACUACAGCCCCUGUUUGCCCAAAGCGGAGUUCAGGCACUCUCGGAUUAUGAUGAAUCCCCAGAGGACCCAAAAGGAAACCUGAAAUGGAAAGUGGACUAAGACACAUGGCAAGCCAACUACAUAAAAAGAAUCAUGGAAAAAAGGGCUCCAACCUCAAGACACAUCUGAUCUAGGUGGAAGUGUGAGUCACACAUGCACAAAAGGCAAGGCGUAGCGGCAAUAAAGGACAGAUCCCUGCUAAUGCACCUGGGAAAGAAGCGGAAGAUGGCCCAUGUGCUUGGGCCUCUGUCACCCACGUGGAAGACCCCAGUGGAGUUUCAGGUUCCUGCCUACAGCUGUUGUGAACAUUUGGAGUGAACCAGUGGAUGGAAGAUCUCUCUCGAUGUCUCUUUCCUUGUAACUCUGCCUUUCAAAUAAAUAAAAGUAAACCUUAAAAAAAAUUGGGAUCAGGGGGCUGGCACUGUGGCAUAGCGGGUAAAGCUGCUGCCCGCAGUGCCAGCAUCCCGUAUGGGAACUACUUCAGUCCCCGGCUGCUACACUUCCAAUCCAGCUCUCUGCUAUGCCCUGGGAAAGCAGCAGAAGAUGACCCAAGUCCUUGGGCCCCUGCACCCGCGUGGGAGACCCAGAAGAAGCUCCUGGCUCCUGGCUUCAGAUCGGCCCAGCUCCAGCUGUUGCAGCCAUUUGGGGAGUGAACCAGCAAAUGAAAGACCUCUCUCUGCCUC